UACGUAGGGAGCAAGCGUUGUCCGGAAUCAUUGGGCGUAAAGCGCGCGUAGGUGGCCCCGUAAGUCCGCUGUGAAAGUCAAAGGCUCAACCUUUGAAAGCCGGUGGAUACUGUGGGACUAGAGUACGGAAGAGGCGAGUGGAAUUCCUGGUGUAGCGGUGAAAUGCGCAGAUAUCAGGAGGAACACCGGUGGCGAAGGCGGUUCUCUGGGCAGGUCCUGACGCUGAGGAGCGAAAGUGUGGGGAGCGAACAGG
RNAcentral lists this ribosomal RNA (253 nucleotides) under uncultured bacterium. RNAcentral describes it as "partial 16S ribosomal RNA". It matches the Rfam family "Bacterial small subunit ribosomal RNA", at positions 524 to 776 of the family's 1533-position model. The record is from RNAcentral.